This 342-nucleotide ribosomal RNA is filed under the name Salmonella enterica subsp. enterica serovar Derby. RNAcentral describes it as "partial 16S ribosomal RNA". It matches the Rfam family "Bacterial small subunit ribosomal RNA", at positions 90 to 435 of the family's 1533-position model. RNAcentral also lists the same sequence under 2 other names. Lineage: Bacteria; Pseudomonadati; Pseudomonadota; Gammaproteobacteria; Enterobacterales; Enterobacteriaceae. The record is from RNAcentral.
GACGAGUGGCGGACGGGUGAGUAAUGUCUGGGAAACUGCCUGAUGGAGGGGGAUAACUACUGGAAACGGUGGCUAAUACCGCAUAACGUCGCAAGACCAAAGAGGGGGACCUUCGGGCCUCUUGCCAUCAGAUGUGCCCAGAUGGGAUUAGCUUGUUGGUGAGGUAACGGCUCACCAAGGCGACGAUCCCUAGCUGGUCUGAGAGGAUGACCAGCCACACUGGAACUGAGACACGGUCCAGACUCCUACGGGAGGCAGCAGUGGGGAAUAUUGCACAAUGGGCGCAAGCCUGAUGCAGCCAUGCCGCGUGUAUGAAGAAGGCCUUCGGGUUGUAAAGUACUU